RNAcentral lists this ribosomal RNA (207 nucleotides) under uncultured bacterium. RNAcentral's name for it is "partial 16S ribosomal RNA". It matches the Rfam family "Bacterial small subunit ribosomal RNA", at positions 568 to 774 of the family's 1533-position model. The record is from RNAcentral.
CUCGUAGGUGGCCAACUAAGUCAGACGUGAAAUCCCUCGGCUUAACCGGGGAACUGCGUCUGAUACUGGAUGGCUUGAGAUUGGGAGAGGGAUGCGGAAUUCCAGGUGUAGCGGUGAAAUGCGUAGAUAUCUGGAGGAACACCGGUGGCGAAGGCGGCAUCCUGGACCAACACUGACACUGAGGAGCGAAAGCCAGGGGAGCAAACG